GACGAACGCUGGCGGCGUGCCUAAUACAUGCAAGUAGAACGCUGAAGACUUUAGCUUGCUAAAGUUGGAAGAGUUGCGAACGGGUGAGUAACGCGUAGGUAACCUGCCUACUAGCGGGGGAUAACUAUUGGAAACGAUAGCUAAUACCGCAUAACAGCAUUUAACACAUGUUAGAUGCUUGAAAGGAGCAAUUGCUUCACUAGUAGAUGGACCUGCGUUGUAUUAGCUAGUUGGUGAGGUAACGGCUCACCAAGGCGACGAUACAUAGCCGACCUGAGAGGGUGAUCGGCCACACUGGGACUGAGACACGGCCCAG
This 316-nucleotide ribosomal RNA is filed under the name uncultured bacterium. Its description in RNAcentral is "bacterial SSU rRNA". It matches the Rfam family "Bacterial small subunit ribosomal RNA", at positions 28 to 334 of the family's 1533-position model. The record is from RNAcentral.